AACAAACAUAACAAUUUUAUAAAUUGUAUCUAUUACAAAACUAAGUUAAAUUUUCUGUAAAAUGUACAGAAACAUUCAUUAAGAUGCAAAUCAUCUUAUAAAACAUUAUUACUUGUAUGAGCAAAAUUAAAGGAGGAGAUAUGAUACACACCAUUUUAAUUCAAUAUGUAUUUAAAAAAAUCCAAAUUAGGAAGACUUUCAAAAUUAUGUUACAUGUAAUUUAACUAGGAGCUUGAAAUUUUUGUAACACUUUAAUGGUUGAUCUAAUUUCAGGCCUUAUCAUAGUUUCUCCUUUGUUGGAUAUAUAAUAAGGUGGAAAAUGAACAUGUGCUACUUUAAAUGUGUUACAUGCAUCUUGAUUCUGCUGUGUCAUAAUUGUAAAAAAAAUAUCUUUUAAUUAGAUAAAAAAAAAUAACAAUAUCUAACCCAUGAACAAAGGGGCUAAAACUACGGGUAUGCAUGCAAAAAUAACAUCUGCAAUUAAUAAAUAUAAAACCACUUAAAAAUUAAUAAAACAGAAAAUGCAAAACAUUCCAUCUCAGUGUAUAAAUAUAUUGAACAAAAAAUUCUGAAACAUCUAAUGAACACAAAAGGACAUGUAAAGAGUUAUAAAUAAGGAAUGUAAAAUGUAGGUCACAGCUACCAAUUUUCAAGUAUAAUUUGUUUUAAAUUGUCAAGAACUGGUAAAGUGUAGAAGAUAUUAUUACUUUUAAGCAGUCAUAGUAUGAGUUAAGGAUGUACUUAGGUGAGAUUUAGGAAUUUUAGUUAAAUGUUCAGACUCCUUGUUUUUCCCCCUACAAUCCAGUAUAGAGUAUUUUGCCCCAUAACACCCAUUCUAUAUUUCAUGUCAGACUUCAAUAGCUCAUAAAAGGUCACAUUCUAAAUUUCUUUUCUUUUAAUUUGAGACCAGAAUAAAGAAAAUGCAAAUGUAAGGUAAAAGUCUGAGUCAAUCUUUUCCCGGUAUUCAAAAAUAAUUAAACAUCUUGAAAAGAAUCUCCAUAACCUAACAAAAUGAUUAGCUUAUUUUGUUCCUCAAUUAAGUUAUGCUCUUCUAAAAUAUAGUAUCAAUUUUUUUUAUUUAUUUUUUUAAUUUCACCUUAGUACACCUUUGAAUUCAUGAACUCUAAUAGAUUCUUAUAAGUCUGUAUAAUUUUGGUCUUGGAGAAACUCCAUUUAAAAUUGAAAAGACUGUAUAGAAGACGUCAAUGUCAUGUUACUGAUGUUAGGCCUUGUUCACACUUGGAACAUUCAGAUAGAUUUAAACUAGAUCCUUGUACUUAAGAUUGCAUGUUGACAUGUAGUGUGAACACAUAGGUUCAGAUUGGACCAAUAGAGAUCACUAACAGGUUUUAUAUAGAUCAAGUAAAAAAAGCCAUUGUGAACUUGAUCUUUGAAAACAUUGUACCUAACUUGAGGAUUGACCUAAGUAAGUCAUUGAAGCAUGAAAUUGAGGUUGACAACAACAGACAUGCCAAACAAAUGGACAACUAUUAAAUUCGUGCAUUUUCCUGCACUUUGCUGGUGAAGAAACCAACAAAAUUUGACAUUAUACUGUGGAUUCAUUUAUUUUUCGUGGGUACCAAUUUUCGUGGAUUAAGAAAAACUUGCAUAUUCAUGGAUAUUUAAUUUCGUGGUUUUGCUGAAGUCUGCAUACAAACCUAUAGAAAAAU
RNAcentral lists this long non-coding RNA (1670 nucleotides) under Mytilus galloprovincialis (Mediterranean mussel). The record is from RNAcentral. Lineage: Eukaryota; Metazoa; Mollusca; Bivalvia; Mytilida; Mytilidae.